RNAcentral lists this ribosomal RNA (508 nucleotides) under uncultured bacterium. RNAcentral describes it as "partial 16S ribosomal RNA". It matches the Rfam family "Bacterial small subunit ribosomal RNA", at positions 30 to 523 of the family's 1533-position model. The record is from RNAcentral.
AUUGAACGCUGGCGGCAGGCCUAACACAUGCAAGUCGAGCGGCAGCGGGAAAGUAGCUUGCUACUUUUGCCGGCGAGCGGCGGACGGGUGAGUAAUGCCUGGGAAAUUGCCCAGUCGAGGGGGAUAACAGUUGGAAACGACUGCUAAUACCGCAUACGCCCUACGGGGGAAAGCAGGGGACCUUCGGGCCUUGCGCGAUUGGAUAUGCCCAGGUGGGAUUAGCUAGUUGGUGAGGUAAUGGCUCACCAAGGCGACGAUCCCUAGCUGGUCUGAGAGGAUGAUCAGCCACACUGGAACUGAGACACGGUCCGGACUCCUACGGGAGGCAGCAGUGGGGAAUAUUGCACAAUGGGGGAAACCCUGAUGCAGCCAUGCCGCGUGUGUGAAGAAGGCCUUCGGGUUGUAAAGCACUUUCAGCGAGGAGGAAAGGUUGAUGCCUAAUACGUAUCAACUGUGACGUUACUCGCAGAAGAAGCACCGGCUAACUCCGUGCCAGCAGCCGCGGUAA